AGUGAACGCUGGCGGUAGGCCUAACACAUGCAAGUCGAACGGCAGCACAGUAAGAGCUUGCUCUUACGGGUGGCGAGUGGCGGACGGGUGAGGAAUACAUCGGAAUCUACUUUUUCGUGGGGGAUAACGUAGGGAAACUUACGCUAAUACCGCAUACGACCUACGGGUGAAAGCAGGGGAUCUUCGGACCUUGCGCGAUUGAAUGAGCCGAUGUCGGAUUAGCUAGUUGGCGGGGUAAAGGCCCACCAAGGCGACGCUCCGUAGCUGGUCUGAGAGGAGGAUCAGCCACACUGGAACUGAGACACGGUCCAGACUCCUACGGGAGGCAGCAGUGGGGAAUAUUGGACAAUGGGCGCAAGCCUGAUCCAGCCAUACCGCGUGGGUGAAGAAGGCCUUCGGGUUGUAAAGCCCUUUUGUUGGGAAAGAAAAGCAGCAGGUUAAUACCCCGCUGUUCUGACGGUACCCAAAGAAUAAGCACCGGCUAACUUCGUG
RNAcentral lists this ribosomal RNA (492 nucleotides) under uncultured bacterium. RNAcentral describes it as "partial 16S ribosomal RNA". It matches the Rfam family "Bacterial small subunit ribosomal RNA", at positions 29 to 507 of the family's 1533-position model. The record is from RNAcentral.